AGUGAACGCUGGCGGUAGGCCUAACACAUGCAAGUCGAACGGCAGCACAGUAAGAGCUUGCUCUUACGGGUGGCGAGUGGCGGACGGGUGAGGAAUACAUCGGAAUCUACUUUUUCGUGGGGGAUAACGUAGGGAAACUUACGCUAAUACCGCAUACGACCUACGGGUGAAAGCAGGGGAGCUUCGGACCUUGCGCGAUUGAAUGAGCCGAUGUCGGAUUAGCUAGUUGGCGGGGUAAAGGCCCACCAAGGCGACGAUCCGUAGCUGGUCUGAGAGGAUGAUCGGCGACACUGGAACUGAGACACGGUCCAGACUCCUACGGGAGGCAGCAGUGGGGAAUAUUGGGCAAUGGGCGCAAGCCUGAUGGAGCGAUGCCGCGUGGGUGAAGAAGGGCUUCGGGUUGUAAAGCGCUGUUGUUGGGGAAGAAGAGCAGCGGGUGGAGACGGGGCUGUUCUGACGGUACCGAAAGAGUAAGCGCCGGCUAACUUCGUG
This 492-nucleotide ribosomal RNA is filed under the name uncultured bacterium. Its description in RNAcentral is "partial 16S ribosomal RNA". It matches the Rfam family "Bacterial small subunit ribosomal RNA", at positions 30 to 507 of the family's 1533-position model. The record is from RNAcentral.